GAUGAAGAACGCAGCGAAAUGCGAUAAGUAAUGCGAAUUGCAGAAUUUCAGUGAGUCAUCGAAUCUUUGAACGCACAUUGCGCCCUUUGGUAUUCCGAAGGGCAUGCCUGUUCGAGCGUCAUUAUCACCCCUCAAGCCCUCGGCUUGGUGUUGGACGGUUUGGUGGAGGCCCCCUCGGGGGCUCCUGCCCCUCCCAAAGACAAUGACGGCGGCCUCGUUGGACCCCCGGUACACUGAGUUCUUCACGGGACACGUAUCGGACACAUGGGUUUACGGGACACGGUCUGCCUCCCCUCAGGGAGAAUCUUUCUAAGGUUGACCUCGGAUCAGGUAGGGAUACCCGCUGAACUUAAGCAUAUCAAUAAGCGGAGGA
Molecule: unclassified non-coding RNA, 373 nt
Filed under: soil metagenome
Description: partial contains 5.8S ribosomal RNA, internal transcribed spacer 2, and large subunit ribosomal RNA
Rfam family: 5.8S ribosomal RNA (bases 1-121)
Source: RNAcentral